Papaver somniferum (opium poppy) is the source of this 728-nucleotide long non-coding RNA. RefSeq lists it as uncharacterized. The transcript is spliced from 2 exons. The record is from RefSeq and is a predicted model, not a curated record. NCBI's taxonomy places the organism in Eukaryota, Viridiplantae, Streptophyta, Magnoliopsida, Ranunculales, Papaveraceae.
UUCUCUUUUUCCCUUCUUCUUCCUUCUUCUCUCGAUUUUGGUUCACAGAACCAGAAACUACCAUUUCCUUGUUUUCACCUGCGAGAUAUUUAUGAGUUCAGAGUGAGAAUCGAUUGAAGAAAAUCAGUAAUGAAGCUGUAUAGAUGAUGGAGGAGUCGAUGUUGUUGUUGAUUAUGAUCGGGAGGAAGAAGAAAAGGUAAUUCAGAUAGUGUAAUUAGGGAUUUUGUGGGUUGAUGAUUGAUUCAAUAUGAAAUUGGUUUUGAAAUAGAGUAAUUGAAGAUGGGUUUUAGGAACAUACUAUGAAGAAGAUGUUUGUUAGGUUGAUUUGAGGAUUUAGCUAUAGCGAGGCACAUAACAGAGAAAUGGAAAAAUUAGGGUUACCGUUCUUCCCCAAAAUAAAAUCAAGGUUUUCUGAGAAUCCAUGGGGGAGAUGAAGGUUGUUGAGUAUGGGUUAAACUUAAUUGAUGGGUGUUGAUGUUCUUGAGAUGAAUUGUUGAAUAAAGUUAAAGGAGAUAAGAAUUCGACUCCAACUGAGAGAGAAAUUAACUUAAGGUGUGUUCUGGUUUACAUGGAAUUAGUGUUGAUGUGAAUGGUAAUAGAUAUUUUUUAUUUUAUUUUUUGACGCAAAACAUAAUUAUAUGAAUUAAGGACUAUCGUGUUGAAUGAAGUUUAACAAGAAAAUUGGAGGAUUACACAACCAAGUGUUAGAGUAACUCUCUUUUCUAGCA